RNAcentral lists this ribosomal RNA (468 nucleotides) under uncultured bacterium. RNAcentral describes it as "partial 16S ribosomal RNA". It matches the Rfam family "Bacterial small subunit ribosomal RNA", at positions 28 to 507 of the family's 1533-position model. The record is from RNAcentral.
GACGAACGCUGGCGGCGUGCUUAACACAUGCAAGUCGAACGGAAAGGCCCUGUCUGGGGUAGUCGCGCGGGGGGCGGGUGGGUAAGAAGCGAGUAAGUUACCCUUCACUUGGGGUGAGCCUCCUUAAGCGAUGGCUAAUAACUACUACGACGAUGCUUCUGAUGCGGGGGGGGGGGUGAGAUGUUUGUGCGGGGGGGGAUGGGCUCGCGGCUUAUCAGCUUGUUGGUGGGGUAGUGGCCUACCAAGGCUUGGACGGGUAGCCGGCCUGAGAGGGUGACCGGCCACACUGGGACUGAGAUACGGCCCAGACUCCUACGGGAGGCAGCAGUGGGGAAUAUUGCACAAUGGGCGGAAGCCUGAUGCAGCAACGCCGCGUGAGGGAUGACGGCCUUCGGGUUGUAAACCUCUUUCGCCUGUGACGAAGCGAAAGUGACGGUAGCAGGAGAAGAAGCACCGGCUAACUACGUG